Molecule: ribosomal RNA, 559 nt
Filed under: uncultured bacterium
Lineage: Bacteria
Description: bacterial SSU rRNA
Rfam family: Bacterial small subunit ribosomal RNA
Source: RNAcentral
CCUACGGGAGGCAGCAGUGGGGAAUAUUGGACAAUGGGCGCAAGCCUGAUCCAGCCAUGCCGCGUGAGUGAUGAAGGCCUUAGGGUUGUAAAGCUCUUUUGCCUGGGAAGAUAAUGACGGUAAGGGGAGAAAAAGCCACGGCUAACUUCGUGCCAGCAGCCGCGGUAAUACGAAGGUGGCAAGCGUUGUUCGGAUUUACUGGGCGUAAAGCGUACGUAGGCGGUUUAACAAGUCAGGAGUGAAAUUCCAGGGCUCAACCCUGGAAUUGCUUUUGAAACUGUUUUACUUGAAUCCGGUAGGGGUUGGCGGAAUUCCCAGUGUAGAGGUGAAAUUCGCAGAUAUUGGGAGGAACACCAGUGGCGUAAGCGGCCAACUGGACCGGUAUUGACGCUGAGGUACGAAAGCGUGGGUAGCAAACAGGAUUAGAUACCCUGGUAGUCCACGCCCUAAACGAUGUGUGCUAGUUGCUGGAGAUUUCAUCUUCAGUGACGCAGCUAACGCAUUAAGCACACCGCCUGGGGAGUACGGUCGCAAGAUUAAAACUCAAAUGAAUUGACGG